Molecule: long non-coding RNA, 1086 nt
Filed under: Mus musculus (house mouse)
Lineage: Eukaryota; Metazoa; Chordata; Mammalia; Rodentia; Muridae
Description: Pvt1 oncogene
Rfam family: Pvt1 oncogene conserved region 1 (bases 12-168)
Source: RNAcentral
GCGUGUGGCCGCCGAGCACAUGGACCCACUGGUCAAGCGGGCUCGGCAAGGCCAGGAUGAAGAGAAGCUACGAACUUAGCAUUCCCAGAGCCCCCCGAGUGGAUAUCCGCGUGGAAAGGAUGUUGGCAGCCCCGGUGACCUCGGAGUCACGGCUGGAUCCACCCUCUUAGAGCCGAGUUCUGUCACCACAGACAUUGGCAGUGGCACUUGCAUGCCCCUGGCAAGCAGUCUAUCCUGAGGUGGAGGAAGUUGCCCUUGAGUUCUGGCUGGUAACCAGCACAGUAUACCCUUUAAGCGUUCCAGAAGGAUUUUGAGAUCCUUUCCUAAAUCAAAGGUGGAAUAUUUGGGGAUUUGGAAAAUUGAGUCUCUCAGAAGAACCAGUUGUGUUACUUUGCUGUGAGAUGCCUGCCCUAAGAGAGGAGCAGAAGGUCGGAACGGGUCCUCUAAUGUGAUAAUUAGAUGUGAAGCGUUGACUUAAGAGAUGCCAAGUAACUCAGCAGAUGUCACACAGACGAUAAAUAGCAAAGAUGGAAGUCUUCAUGCCGGAGGCAAUCCUAUAAGACAGCUGAGUUCUGCAGAGCUGGUAGGAGACAGACUUGCUCAGGUGAUAGAUCCAGCCAUGAUACUGACCCUAAGAGAAUGAGACGCUCUGCAGAAGACAGAAGAUUCCUGAAACUGGGAAAGGUGCCUAGAAAUCCUGAUAAGAGUGAAGAAGGGUACCUGGAGGCACAGCAGCCAUGUUGAACCUAUGAGGUGAUGAAAAACCAUGCAACUAGAAACCAGAAUGGAAGAAAAGAAGAAGCUGGAUCCUUGACUGAAUUGUCGAUGGGGGAUAGUCCAUCAUCCCAGGGCUAAGACCACCUCCAGAUUUCUUGUUUGGUGAAACAAGUCCUGAUUGUUUACAUUCCCUCGUGUUGAGCUGUCUCUUGCUUGUAGCUGAAAGCAUUUCUAAUAGAUAUUCAGAUUAUCAGCCUUAGCUCCAAGCUAGAAUACUCUAUGGGACCUUAGCUUCUCCAUGAAUUCCUUUGCUCAUCUGUGUAAUGCUCAAUAAAUGUAAAUUGAACCCUGAAUGAGGGACAAUGACAC